Long non-coding RNA from Styela clava, 1120 nucleotides. RefSeq lists it as uncharacterized. The record is from RefSeq and is a predicted model, not a curated record. Lineage: Eukaryota; Metazoa; Chordata; Ascidiacea; Stolidobranchia; Styelidae.
GGUAUUUAAUGAAAGUAAGUUUUACAAUUCAUGAUAUUUGACUCUAGCGAAGCAUAAAUAUGUGUGUCGGUCAUUUUAACUCAGUAUUUCCCACACGUUCCAAGUUAAUCACGUGUUUCUAUUUUUGUAGGGCCUUUAGCAAUAGUUCUACUAGCUAAUUCAUUAUUUCAGAGAUAUUCUAAAUAAGUCUAGUUCCCACUAUUUCGUCUAGCGUGCGUUAUAGUUUUCGAAAACUCUACCUAACUAGAAAUAUUCUAAAAUUUCAUAAAUUAGUAGAUUCUGACACCGAAUGGAUUCUUGGUCCUGGAAGUUUCAAGCAUUCCGCAAGUUUUCAUUCGAAUCCGAGAGUUAAUAUUAAUAUAUGUAUAAAGUUUAAAUAUAAUCAAACACUUGUUAGGUUUCAGGGGCGAAGCCAGGAAUUUUCAAAGGGGGGAUAGGGGGGUGAGUGGGUGGGGUUGGUGGAGGGGUCUGAAAUUUAUAAUUGCAAAGUUAGAACGCAACAACUAGCGGGUCCGGGAAACAUGGGUUUUCCAGAGCCUUGAGGGUCUGAAAGCGUUACAAACUACGAAUCAUUGCUAUGUAUAUAUGAUACAGAAAAUCAAAAGAGGGGAUCCGACCCUGUUAGGUUUACCUGAGCUUUUUAAUACUUGAGCUUUUUAUGAUCAAAAGUAAUAUUUGAAAAACUGCUGUGGAACGGUCAGACUAAUUUAGUUUGUUAGAAGGGGACAAUAAAAAGCUGGGAGAAUUUUUGCGAUAAAUGGGACGGUUACUGACGGUAGUGAAAGCAGACUGCUUGGACUUUGAUUAAAGGAAGUAAGUACUUCACGUUAAAAAAGGCGUUUGUUGAGUAUUGUAUUCGAUUUAUUUUUCCAACUUACGUCUUCCCAAUGUUGAAAAAGAUCCAAGUGUGUUGCUGAUGAAUAUGAAAGAUCGUUCAGCGGGUGAGAAGAAGUGAGAGCGUCAAUAUCAAAAGCUGCAUGAAGUUCAUCGAGAAGAAAUCUAUCUUUCUGGAAAACAAAACGAAUAGCAAGAAUGAUACAGCGUUAUAAAAUAUAUACAAGUUAAUAAACAGUAGGACUUGCAAAAGAUUUUUAUAUAGAAAAUAAAUUGACUGACACAA